GCUCCAUCCCUGGAAGUGUCCAAGGCCAGGUCGGAUGGGGCUUGGAGCAACCUGGGAUAGUGGAAGGUGUCCCAGCCCAUGGAAUGAGGUGAUCUUUAAGGUCCCUUUCAAUCCAAACCAUCCUGUGAUUCCAUUAUUCUAUGAUCUUUUCCAGGUGCCAGAGGAGCAGUGGGAUCAGGACAGCCUGGCAGAGAAGGGUGGAGACCUCUCUUGCAGCAGCCACCCUUUUGGGAGACCCCUUCAUGUGAGACAUCAUUUAACAGUCACAACUCCUCACACUUCCCAUCUCCAGGGCUGGAAUGUAGGACGAGGAGGCUAAAACAGGCUGAAGCUCUCGGAUCUCACCCCUGCAGCCUUCCAGGCCAAGUUCCAGGUCUUCCCUCCCUCCUUGGACUUCCUUCCGUGCCUGGUGCUCAUCUCCAGGGGCUGCAAUUCCAACUGUUUAUGGGUAAGAUCAGCUCUUGCCAGGUGAGCCCAAAGCCCAGCCCAGCGCGGUGGCACCUGGGUGAGAUCAGUGACAGCAAACAGCAGCUCCCAUGUGAACUUUUGAAUGUUGGGACUGUCAGAGCCUCAUCUUUCAGGGUUAUUUUAUUUGCAGGUGUUUCCCUGAGACUCCUCUGCCGUCAGAGUUUGGUGUUCCAUCUUGGGCAGCUUGACUUCCCAGAGCAUGAGCCUGUUCCCAACCAGCUUCUGCAGAGCCCAAACUUCCCUGUGUUCAAUUUCUUGUUAUUGCAUUUAGUCUCUGGUGACUCCCGAGCUGACAGCUGACGAUCUGGAAUGUUAAUCCUGGAUAAUGUGACAUGGAACAUUUCCGCGGCUCCUCGGCACAGCUUUCCCUCCUCAUGCUCCCUUUGAGUUUGGAUUUGUUUGUUUUCCAAGGCAAACUCUGGAUCUGGCUCCCAUCAACAGCACCCUUUUGACAGAUCCC
Long non-coding RNA from Manacus vitellinus (golden-collared manakin), 928 nucleotides. The record is from Ensembl. Lineage: Eukaryota; Metazoa; Chordata; Aves; Passeriformes; Pipridae.